UUUGCAUUAAAUUUCCACACAUUGUUUAUCUAAAUCAUUUGUAAAGUUAAAACAUAAAAAAACAUGGCUAAACUUUUCAACUUUGGUUAUGUUAUAGUUUUGUUUUUAUCUCUAUUCCUUAUUUCAGCUAAGGCUUUAUUUCCAUGUGAAACUAAUGAAGAUUGUGCAAACGUAUUUUUUACCGCUGGAAAGCUGGAUUACUUUGUUGAGUGCAUCGACAAAAAAUGUUUGUUGAUUAAGAUAUAAGGAAGAAUUAGUUUAGUUCUUGAAAUGUCAAAAAAUUAUAAAUAAUAAUAGACUUAAGUAGUCUUUUCAAAAAUUUUAUAUGUUCA
Long non-coding RNA from Vicia villosa (hairy vetch), 332 nucleotides. RefSeq lists it as uncharacterized. The record is from RefSeq and is a predicted model, not a curated record. Lineage: Eukaryota; Viridiplantae; Streptophyta; Magnoliopsida; Fabales; Fabaceae. The transcript is spliced from 2 exons.